This is a non-coding RNA of Dipodomys ordii (Ord's kangaroo rat), 65 nucleotides long. The record is from Rfam. Lineage: Eukaryota; Metazoa; Chordata; Mammalia; Rodentia; Heteromyidae.
GGUGGCUCAGUGGUAGAGUGCUUGCAUUGUAUGCAUGAGGCCCUGAGUUCGAUUCCUUAGCACCA